Molecule: ribosomal RNA, 131 nt
Filed under: Symbiodinium sp. clade A
Lineage: Eukaryota; Dinophyceae; Suessiales; Symbiodiniaceae
Description: partial 18S ribosomal RNA
Rfam family: Eukaryotic small subunit ribosomal RNA
Source: RNAcentral
GUCGCUCCUACCGAUUGAGUGAUCCGGUGAAUUAUUCGGACUGACGCAGUGCUCAGCUUCUGGACGUUGUGUUAGAAAGUUUCAUGAACCUUAUCACUUAGAGGAAGGAGAAGUCGUAACAAGGUUUCCGU